UACAGAGGGGGCAAGCGUUAUUCGGAAUUAUUGGGCGUAAAGGGCGCGUAGGCGGCCUGACAAGUGGAAGGUGAAAUCCCUCGGCUUAACCGAGGAACUGCCCUCCAAACUGUCUGGCUUGAGACCGGGAGAGGUGAGUGGAAUUCCCAGUGUAGCGGUGAAAUGCGUAGAUAUUGGGAGGAACACCAGUGGCGAAGGCGGCUUACUGGACCGGUACUGACGCUGAGGCGCGAAAGCGUGGGGAGCAAACGGG
Molecule: ribosomal RNA, 253 nt
Filed under: uncultured bacterium
Lineage: Bacteria
Description: partial 16S ribosomal RNA
Rfam family: Bacterial small subunit ribosomal RNA
Source: RNAcentral